Molecule: ribosomal RNA, 253 nt
Filed under: uncultured bacterium
Lineage: Bacteria
Description: partial 16S ribosomal RNA
Rfam family: Bacterial small subunit ribosomal RNA
Source: RNAcentral
UACGGAGGGUGCAAACGUUGCUCGGAAUUAUUGGGCGUAAAGCGCACGUAGGCGGCCGAACAAGUCGGGUGUGAAAUCCCUCGGCUUAACCGAGGAAGUGCAUUCGAAACUGUCCGGCUUGAAUACUCAAGAGGGUCUCGGAAUUCCCGGUGUAGAGGUGAAAUUCGUAGAUAUCGGGAGGAACACCAGUGGCGAAGGCGGAGACCUGGGGAGAUAUCGACGCUGAGGUGCGAAAGCGUGGGGAGCAAACAGG